This is a small nuclear RNA of Heterocephalus glaber (naked mole-rat), 126 nucleotides long. Its record names the gene U2. It matches the Rfam family "U2 spliceosomal RNA". From Rfam's summary of the family: U2 is a small nuclear RNA (snRNA) component of the spliceosome (involved in pre-mRNA splicing). Complementary binding between U2 snRNA (in an area lying towards the 5' end but 3' to hairpin I) and the branchpoint sequence (BPS) of the intron results the bulging out of an unpaired adenosine, on the BPS, which initiates a nucleophilic attack at the intronic 5' splice site, thus starting the first of two transesterification reactions that mediate splicing. The record is from Ensembl. NCBI's taxonomy places the organism in Eukaryota, Metazoa, Chordata, Mammalia, Rodentia, Bathyergidae.
AUCGCUUCACUGCCUUUUGGCUAAGAUCAAGUGUAGUGUCUGUUCUUAUCAGUUUAAUAUCUGAUAUAUCCUCUGUCCAAAGACAAUAGGAGAUGCAAAUAUCUGUUCAGUCUGAGUCCACCAUCU